This 718-nucleotide ribosomal RNA is filed under the name Serratia sp. (in: enterobacteria). Its description in RNAcentral is "bacterial SSU rRNA". It matches the Rfam family "Bacterial small subunit ribosomal RNA", at positions 775 to 1492 of the family's 1533-position model. Lineage: Bacteria; Pseudomonadati; Pseudomonadota; Gammaproteobacteria; Enterobacterales; Yersiniaceae. The record is from RNAcentral.
GGAUUAGAUACCCUGGUANUCCACGCUGUAAACGAUGUCGACUUGGAGGUUGUGCCCUUGAGGCGUGGCUUCCGGAGCUAACGCGUUAAGUCGACCGCCUGGGGAGUACGGCCGCAAGGUUAAAACUCAAAUGAAUUGACGGGGGCCCGCACAAGCGGUGGAGCAUGUGGUUUAAUUCGAUGCAACGCGAAGAACCUUACCUACUCUUGACAUCCAGAGAAUUCGCUAGAGAUAGCUUAGUGCCUUCGGGAACUCUGAGACAGGUGCUGCAUGGCUGUCGUCAGCUCGUGUUGUGAAAUGUUGGGUUAAGUCCCGCAACGAGCGCAACCCUUAUCCUUUGUUGCCAGCGCGUAAUGGCGGGAACUCAAAGGAGACUGCCGGUGAUAAACCGGAGGAAGGUGGGGAUGACGUCAAGUCAUCAUGGCCCUUACGAGUAGGGCUACACACGUGCUACAAUGGCGUAUACAAAGAGAAGCGAACUCGCGAGAGCAAGCGGACCUCAUAAAGUACGUCGUAGUCCGGAUCGGAGUCUGCAACUCGACUCCGUGAAGUCGGAAUCGCUAGUAAUCGUAGAUCAGAAUGCUACGGUGAAUACGUUCCCGGGCCUUGUACACACCGCCCGUCACACCAUGGGAGUGGGUUGCAAAAGAAGUAGGUAGCUUAACCUUCGGGAGGGCGCUUACCACUUUGUGAUUCAUGACUGGGGUGAAGUCGUAAC